GAUGAACGCUGGCGGCGUGCCUAAUACAUGCAAGUCGAGCGAACGGACGAGAAGCUUGCUUCUCUGAUGUUAGCGGCGGACGGGUGAGUAACACGUGGAUAACCUACCUAUAAGACUGGGAUAACUUCGGGAAACCGGAGCUAAUACCGGAUAAUAUUUUGAACCGCAUGGUUCAAAAGUGAAAGACGGUCUUGCUGUCACUUAUAGAUGGAUCCGCGCUGCAUUAGCUAGUUGGUAAGGUAACGGCUUACCAAGGCAACGAUGCAUAGCCGACCUGAGAGGGUGAUCGGCCACACUGGAACUGAGACACGGUCCAGACUCCUACGGGGGGCAGCAGUAGGGAAUCUUCCGCAAUGGGCGAAAGCCUGACGGAGCAACGCCGCGUGUGUGAUGAAGGUCUUCGGAUCGUAAAACUCUGUUAUUAGGGAAGAACAUAUGUGUAAGUAACUGUGCACAUCUUGACGGUACCUAAUCAGAAAGCCACGGCUAACUACGUG
This 497-nucleotide ribosomal RNA is filed under the name uncultured bacterium. RNAcentral describes it as "partial 16S ribosomal RNA". It matches the Rfam family "Bacterial small subunit ribosomal RNA", at positions 28 to 507 of the family's 1533-position model. The record is from RNAcentral.